CCUACGGGUGGCAGCAGUAGGGAAUCUUCCACAAUGGGCGAAAGCCUGAUGGCGCAACGCCGCGUGGGUGAAGAAGGUCUUCGGAUCGUAAAACCCUGUUGUUAGAGAAGAAAGUGCGUGAGAGUAACUGUUCACGUUUCGACGGUAUCUAACCAGAAAGCCACGGCUAACUACGUGCCAGCCUCCGCGGUAAUACGUAGGUGGCAAGCGUUAUCCGGAUUUAUUGGGCGUAAGGGGAACGCAGGCGGUCUUUUAAGUCUGAUGGGAAAGCCUUCGGCUUAACCGGAGUAGUGCAUUGGAAACUGGGAGACUUGAGUGCAGAAGAGGAGAGUGGAACUCCAUGUGUAGCGGUGAAAGGCGUAGAUAUAUGGAAGAACACCAGUGGCGAAAGCGGCUCUCUGGUCUGUAACUGACGCUGAGGUUCGAAAGCGUGGGUAGCAAACAGGAUUAGAUACCCGAGUAGUC
Molecule: ribosomal RNA, 465 nt
Filed under: uncultured bacterium
Lineage: Bacteria
Description: partial 16S ribosomal RNA
Rfam family: Bacterial small subunit ribosomal RNA
Source: RNAcentral